CUCAGAGCGAACGCUGGCGGCAGGCUUAACACAUGCAAGUCGAGCGGGCCCUUCGGGGUCAGCGGCAGACGGGUGAGUAACGCGUGGGAACGUGCCCUUCGGUUCGGAAUAACUCAGGGAAACUUGAGCUAAUACCGGAUACGUGCUUAGGCAGAAAGGUUUAUCUGCCGAAGGAUCGGCCCGCGUCUGAUUAGCUAGUUGGUGAGGUUAUGGCUCACCAAGGCGACGAUCAGUAGCUGGUCUGAGAGGAUGAUCAGCCACACUGGGACUGAGACACGGCCCAGACUCCUACGGGAGGCAGCAGUGGGGAAUAUUGGACAAUGGGGGCAACCCUGAUCCACCCAUGCCGCGUGAGUGAUGACGGCCUUAGGGUUGUAAAGCUCUUUUCUCCGGGACGAUAAUGACGGUACCGGAGGAAUAACCCCCGGCUAACUUCGUGCCAGCAGUCGCGGUAAUAUGAAGGGGGCUUACCGUGCUCCGACUCACUGGGCGUAAAGGGCGCGUACGCGGCUGCAUUAGGCGAGGGUUAAACCCCGUGGCUCACCACGGACUGGCCU
RNAcentral lists this ribosomal RNA (557 nucleotides) under uncultured bacterium. Its description in RNAcentral is "bacterial SSU rRNA". It matches the Rfam family "Bacterial small subunit ribosomal RNA", at positions 23 to 626 of the family's 1533-position model. The record is from RNAcentral.